AAUAAAGAGCUGCGAUCCAUAUGAGAUAAAAGAAUAAUACACUGAGAGGGGAGGCAAUCUUCAGCACUCGGCAGAUCGCAACCCUUCUGAGCCCACAAAUAAAAACACAGACCGUUUGGGAGGCAUGGGCUCUCCAGUCACUUUCGAAAUGCCUUGUUUGAUUGUGUAUAUACCCGAAAAUUCUUUAUCUCAUCCACCUCUUGGCUG
Non-coding RNA from Caenorhabditis elegans, 207 nucleotides. The record is from Ensembl. Lineage: Eukaryota; Metazoa; Nematoda; Chromadorea; Rhabditida; Rhabditidae.